Molecule: long non-coding RNA, 525 nt
Filed under: Homo sapiens (human)
Lineage: Eukaryota; Metazoa; Chordata; Mammalia; Primates; Hominidae
Description: long non-coding RNA NONHSAT182529.1
Source: RNAcentral
CCUCCGAGAAGCAAGAAGCCAAAAGUGGGAUCCUGGAGGCCGCUGGCUUCCCCGACCCGGGUAAAAAGGCCUCUCCUUUGGUGGUGGCUGCAGCGGCAGCAGCAGCGGUAGCUGCCCAAGGAGGCCGCAGCAUCUCUUGCCACCAUUCCAUGCGCCCCUACCGAUUGACAUGCGACACCAGGAAGGAAGGUACCAUUACGAGCCUCAUUCUGUCCACGGUGUGCACGGGUCCCGUUUCUCCAGCCCGCGGGUGACGCCCCGCCUGAGCCGCAAGCGGGCGCUGUCCAUCUCCCCACUCUCAGACGCCAGCCUGGACCUGCAGCGGAUGAUCCGCACCUCACCCAACUCGCUAGUGGCCUACAUCAACAACUCCCGAAGCAGCUCGGCGGCCAGCGGUUCCUACGGGCAUCUGUCAGCGGGUGCCCUCAGCCAGCCUUCACCUUCCCCCACCCCAUCAACCCCGUGGCCUACCAGCAGAUUCUGAGCCAGCAGAGGGGUCUGGGGUCAGCCUUUGGACACACACCA